This 377-nucleotide long non-coding RNA is filed under the name Vombatus ursinus (common wombat). Its description in RNAcentral is "lncRNA (ENSVURG00010023139.1)". Lineage: Eukaryota; Metazoa; Chordata; Mammalia; Diprotodontia; Vombatidae. The record is from RNAcentral.
GAGAAAUCAAAGAUUCCUGUCACCCAAAAGAUCAGAAGACAAAGAAGAUCUCUAAAGGGUGCAUGAUACACCUGGCCAGGCUUAACAAGAGGAAGAGGGAUAUCAAUAAUCCAGGAAUACAUCAAGAUGUCCACAGAGUAAUUCCCCCUGCUUUGGUGGAUCCUGACUCCAAUUCCUUUCUUUGAGUCCCACCCACGAUGCUCUUUCCUUACUCUUCUGAAAUCACUUCUGCAGGUAACCUAGUCCAUCCAAUUCUCCAGAAUAAUCUCUAUAGUCUAAGUAUUUUGGAGGAGGAAGCUGGCAAUAUGGCUUUCUACCACACACUAGAAGCUGAGACAGUGUUACAGUUGAAGAAGAGGCAGCACCUGAACAUCUGA